UUAACUUCUUGAGUUUCAUUGAAACUGACAUUGCUUCAUUAAUGAAACUAUGACAUCACAAAUGGUCAUCCACAGUCGAAGUGUGUGUGUGUAGGGGCUGGGGGGGGGGGGGGGGGUAAUGAGAGUACAUGAAAAAUCCCAAAGCCGAUCCCAGACAAAAUAGGAGAUUCAUGUCCUUAAAAUAAUCUGCAGUUGUGAAAUGUUUUGGAACAGUUUCUCGAUAGAAGUUAUACCAACAUAAUUGGCUAGUAGUUAAGGCGAGUCAUAGGAUGUCAGUGUGUGAAGCAUGUACAGAAUCUGAUAUACUGAUUAAAAAUGGAGGUCACGACUAAUAAGUAGUAUUAAGUAGUAGUGUCCUACGUCUGAAACAAUUUUGUUCUUUAUUUCUUCUUAUUUAUAAUGGAGGAAUCUUGAUGGCUCAUUUAUAUAACAUUCCAAACACGCAUAUUCAGUGAAUAUAGGCACGCUACUGUAAAUAACAUUUUUACCUUCUAAUAAUGUCUGGCCAUCUAAAAGAAUGCGCGGGAUGUACAAAUCUCUUAAUGACAAACCAGUGGUUUUUUUUUUCCGAUCUGUCUGUGACAUCAUUAACUUCCUCCUUUCUCAUGGUUACAAAUAGCGUUUGUAGCAUCCACCACUGAAUGAACACUCAGGACUGCCGCGAGAAAAGCAGAGAACCAAAUAUAGAAAAGGAAGCACGCAUCAGUAUGUUCAAGUUCAUGCUUGUCAUUGUUGUCCUCAUGCAGAGCUGCAGAGGGGAUGAUCAUAGCAUAAGAGCGGAGCUCAUACCCUACAUUUUGGCUCUCCAAACAGAACUCCGAAGGGAACUUGGAAACUGGUCCUUUACCGGAAAUAUUAGUUUUCCAUCAACCAGAAAAUUGAGACACGCAUGUGACUGUCGGGGUGUAUAUUCAGAGGCACUGAACACAACUUGGCACCAGUUGAAUUCCAACCGCCCAAAUAUCAAAGAUCUGCUCACUAUACUAAAGGAAAACACUGAGUCCCUUUCACGACCCCAAACGAACCACACCUGUCCAAUGGAUGUGAAAGAAUUCAACCCAGAAGCAUUAACAAGAUUAGGCAAUUCCCUCAGGAAACUAAAUAACGAAUGCUAG
This 1115-nucleotide long non-coding RNA is filed under the name Gadus morhua (Atlantic cod). Its description in RNAcentral is "lncRNA (ENSGMOG00000032345.1)". Lineage: Eukaryota; Metazoa; Chordata; Actinopteri; Gadiformes; Gadidae. The record is from RNAcentral.